CCGGCGCACGGGUGAGUAACACGUAUCCAACCUUCCGUUUACUCGGGGAUAGCCUUUCGAAAGAAAGAUUAAUACCCGAUAGUAUGUUUUUCCCGCAUGGGAGAACCAUUAAAGUUUUUCGGUAAUCGAUGGGGAUGCGUUCCAUUAGGCAGUUGGUGAGGUAACGGCUCACCAAACCUUCGAUGGAUAGGGGUUCUGAGAGGAAGGUCCCCCACAUUGGAACUGAGACACGGUCCAAACUCCUACGGGAGGCAGCAGUGAGGAAUAUUGGUCAAUGGACGAGAGUCUGAACCAGCCAAGUAGCGUGAAGGAUGACUGCCCUAUGGGUUGUAAACUUCUUUUAUAUGGGAAUAAAAGAGCCUACGUGUAGGUUUUUGUAUGUACCAUACGAAUAAGGAUCGGCUAACUCCGUGCCAGCAGCCGCGGUAAUACGGAGGAUCCAAGCGUUAUCCGGAUUUAUUGGGUUUAAAGGGAGCGUAGGUGGAGGCUUAAGUCAGUUGUGAAAGUUUGCG
RNAcentral lists this ribosomal RNA (512 nucleotides) under uncultured bacterium. RNAcentral's name for it is "bacterial SSU rRNA". It matches the Rfam family "Bacterial small subunit ribosomal RNA", at positions 95 to 606 of the family's 1533-position model. The record is from RNAcentral.